RNAcentral lists this small nuclear RNA (126 nucleotides) under Rhodnius prolixus. Its description in RNAcentral is "U4 spliceosomal RNA". It matches the Rfam family "U4 spliceosomal RNA". Rfam says of the family: U4 small nuclear RNA (U4 snRNA) is a component of the major U2-dependent spliceosome. Lineage: Eukaryota; Metazoa; Arthropoda; Insecta; Hemiptera; Reduviidae. The record is from Rfam by way of RNAcentral.
AACCUUGCGCAGUGACAAUAUUGUAACUGAUGAAGGUCUCUUGAGGUGUGAUUAUUGCUAGUUGAAACUUUCCACUUACAAUGAUAUUAAGCACAAUAAAAUAUUUUAUAUAAAUCUGUCACUAAA